AAAAUUUAAACUGCUGAUUAAUAUAGAAAACUACAAACUUCGACAAUGAAAGGUGUUUUGUGUGUACAGUUUUGAUUGUUCUGGUGUUGGUCGCAAGUACUUCUUCAUUCUCUGUACAGGAAGGUGAAUCGCGUGUCAAGAACACUAGACAAAUAUGUUACCAUCCAAACUGUGUAACCGAUGGCUACGGCUGUGUCGGACAAUAUGGUCCAUGUGCUGGUAUAUGCUACUGUAUAGGGUCUGGAUAUGAGUACAGAUGCAGUUAUUGUGACAUUUUCGGCUAAAUAGCAGAUUUCGUAUAUAGCCAAUACAUCUCUGAAAGUUUAAUCAUUAAUUCAUUAUACAUUGUAAAUGUAUUAUCAAAAUAAAUGACAUUAUUUUUAAAUGUG
This is a long non-coding RNA of Ruditapes philippinarum (Manila clam), 389 nucleotides long. RefSeq lists it as uncharacterized. The transcript is spliced from 3 exons. Lineage: Eukaryota; Metazoa; Mollusca; Bivalvia; Venerida; Veneridae. The record is from RefSeq and is a predicted model, not a curated record.